RNAcentral lists this unclassified non-coding RNA (1013 nucleotides) under Drosophila yakuba. RNAcentral's name for it is "GE13666". Lineage: Eukaryota; Metazoa; Arthropoda; Insecta; Diptera; Drosophilidae. The record is from RNAcentral.
GUUAUCUUCAUUUUUUUGUUAUUUAUUAAACGUAAUACAUUUCAAUACUUUUGCAAAGUCGCCUGCAUAGUGAUUAGUUAUCGAGGUCGCGAUGUCGGAAUCCACCACGUGGAAGAGCGCGUCGGGUGGCCUUGCUGCCUGGCUCAUCGCCCUGAUCGUUAUAAUGGUGCUCCUGUGCUGCCUCCUGAUCAUCUGCCUGCCGCUCCUCUGCCUCUGCGGCUGCUGCGGACUCACCUGCUCCGCGUGCUUCGCCUGCGGCGCUGCAUGUUGCAGUGAUUGCGAGGGGUGUGGCGAUUGUGGCAAUUGUGGCGAUUGCGGCGGUGGGUCUGGCGAUGGAUGUGGUGAUUGUGGCGAUUUGGGGGAUGGUGAUGGUGACGAAAUCGUUUAGUUUGGCGAUAAUUCAAGUUUCCAUCGAAAUAAACGUACUAUUCAGAUCUCCGAUUCAAAAGUCCAUAAAUUGCAUGUGCACAGAUAUAGAUUCACUAGGAGCAGCCCAAGGCUACCAGGAAUCCAACGUAAAGGAAACCACAUUUUAAAAUACUUCAUUUCAUCGAGCUCGAAAAUAACCGGAUUUCAGUAAGCUGCGACUGUACACUUAAAAUUAAAAAAAAAACUGUACCCAAAAUCGAAAUUCUUAAGAUGCUAUGCAAGGAACGAGGGUCCAAUCUGUAAUCGAAAUCGUCAAAAUUUGCAAUUUAUUUCCCAUAAGCUAUGGCGAAGUUGACUUCCAUAUCUGAAUACGAUUUUAGAGAUCUAAACUUUAACAUGACAACUGUGGCGAGCCGAUCGACCACCGAACCACCGGAUACUAACCUUAAGUAUUAUGGACUUUUAUUCAUAUUCGCCGUCAUAUUGGCCUUCAUUGUGGCGUGCUCUGCAUGUAUGGCUCUUCUCGUCCUUUUUGGUUGUAUGAAGUCCUUUUUCUGUAUUCGCUGUAGACGGCGUGACGAGUUUACAGAAGUUAAUCCCUGACUGGGAUAACAGUUGCGUCAUCUUAUCUGAAAAUUGUGCUA